This 720-nucleotide ribosomal RNA is filed under the name uncultured bacterium. RNAcentral's name for it is "bacterial SSU rRNA". It matches the Rfam family "Bacterial small subunit ribosomal RNA", at positions 75 to 768 of the family's 1533-position model. The record is from RNAcentral.
AGUGCUUGCACUAAAUGAAACUAGAUACAAGCGAGCGGCGGACGGGUGAGUAACACGUGGGUAACCUGCCCAAGAGACUGGGAUAACACCUGGAAACAGAUGCUAAUACCGGAUAACAACACUAGACGCAUGUCUAGAGUUUGAAAGAUGGUUCUGCUAUCACUCUUGGAUGGACCUGCGGUGCAUUAGCUAGUUGGUAAGGUAACGGCUUACCAAGGCAAUGAUGCAUAGCCGAGUUGAGAGACUGAUCGGCCACAUUGGGACUGAGACACGGCCCAAACUCCUACGGGAGGCAGCAGUAGGGAAUCUUCCACAAUGGACGAAAGUCUGAUGGAGCAACGCCGCGUGAGUGAAGAAGGGUUUCGGCUCGUAAAGCUCUGUUGGUAGUGAAGAAAGAUAGAGGUAGUAACUGGCCUUUAUUUGACGGUAAUUACUUAGAAAGUCACGGCUAACUACGUGCCAGCAGCCGCGGUAAUACGUAGGUGGCAAGCGUUGUCCGGAUUUAUUGGGCGUAAAGCGAGUGCAGGCGGUUCAAUAAGUCUGAUGUGAAAGCCUUCGGCUCAACCGGAGAAUUGCAUCAGAAACUGUUGAACUUGAGUGCAGAAGAGGAGAGUGGAACUCCAUGUGUAGCGGUGGAAUGCGUAGAUAUAUGGAAGAACACCAGUGGCGAAGGCGGCUCUCUGGUCUGCAACUGACGCUGAGGCUCGAAAGCAUGGGUAG